RNAcentral lists this ribosomal RNA (446 nucleotides) under uncultured bacterium. RNAcentral's name for it is "partial 16S ribosomal RNA". It matches the Rfam family "Bacterial small subunit ribosomal RNA", at positions 338 to 795 of the family's 1533-position model. The record is from RNAcentral.
CCUACGGGAGGCUGCAGUCGAGAAUCAUUCACAAUGGGGGAAACCCUGAUGGUGCGACGCCUCGUGGGGGAAUGAAGGUCUUCGGAUUGUAAACCCCUGUCAUGUGGGAGCAAAUUAAAAAGAUAGUACCACAAGAGGAAGAGACGGCUAACUCUGUGCCAGCAGCCGCGGUAAUAAAGAGGUCUCAAGCGUUGUUCGGAAUCACUGGGCGUAAGGCGUGCGUAGGCUGUUUCGUAAGUCGUGAGUGAAAGGCGCGGGCUCAACCCGCGGACGGCACAUGAUACUGCGAGACUAGAGUAAUGGAGGGGGAACCGGAAUUCUCGGUGUAGCAGGGAAAUGCGUAGAUAUCGAGAGGAACACUCGUGGCGAAGGCGGGUUCCUGGACAUUAACUGACGCUGAGGCACGAAGGCCAGGGGAGCGAAAGGGAUUAGAUACCCGUGUAGUC